AUUGAACGCUGGCGGCAGGCCUAACACAUGCAAGUCGAACGAGUGGCGGACGGGUGAGUAAUGUCUGGGAAACUGCCUGAUGGAGAGGGAUAACUACUGGAAACGGUAGCUAAUACCGCAUACCAUCAGAUGUGCCCAGAUGGGAUUAGCUAGUUGGUGGGGUAACGGCGCACCAAGGCGACGAUCCCUAUCUGUUCUGAGAGGAUGACCAGGCACACUGGAACUGAGACACGGUCCAGACUCCUACGGGAGGCAGCAGUGGGGAAUAUUGCACAAUGGGCGAAAGCCUGAUGCAGCCAUGCCGCGUGUAUGAAGAAGGCCUUCGGGUUGUAAAGUACUUUCAGCGGGGAGGCGUUACCCGCAGAAUAAGCACCGGCUAACUCCGUGCCAGCAGCCGCGGUAAUUC
RNAcentral lists this ribosomal RNA (406 nucleotides) under uncultured bacterium. RNAcentral's name for it is "partial 16S ribosomal RNA". It matches the Rfam family "Bacterial small subunit ribosomal RNA", at positions 30 to 526 of the family's 1533-position model. The record is from RNAcentral.